Molecule: long non-coding RNA, 984 nt
Filed under: Pongo abelii (Sumatran orangutan)
Lineage: Eukaryota; Metazoa; Chordata; Mammalia; Primates; Hominidae
Description: lincRNA
Source: RNAcentral
GCAGAGAUUGUGUAAGAAGAAAACAGAAGAAAGCCUAGGAGAGAACCCUGAGGAAAACCAAAGAUUUAAGGGAUGAACAAAAGAGAAAUCUGCACAGUAACUCAUAAAGAGUGGUCAAAGAGGUAAAGAGAAAACAAGAGCAUGUGGUGUCAUACAAGCACAUUGUCUCUAUGGUGGUGCCUUGGGUCUGCAUUUCAGCCAGCACAAAAGAGAAAGAAGAAGGGAUAGACACAUCACUUUAUUUUGAUGACAAGACCCAGGAGUUGUUCUCGUCACUGUCACUCACAUCCCAUUGGCCAAAACUUAGUCACAUGGUCAUAUGCUGCUGCAAUGUGACAGGAAAUGUAGUCUUUUUUCAGAAUGGCUGUUACCCUAGGUAAAAUGUGGAGAUAUUCUUUCUGUGAGAGAAAAAGAGAGUACAGCUACCGGGGGAUAACUAGUGGCUACUGUCAUAUCACUUGAUGUCUUUCAAAUCUCUGAUGCUGAUCAAUCUCUGCAGUUCCCCCAGUGUGCAGUUGUACUUUUGGUAAGAAGAGGAAGCUCAAGAUUUGACCUUUUCUCCCAUAAUGACCCUCAUUUUGGGGGUCAGAAAGGAAGCAUGGACAUUCACUCAUCUCUAUAUGAUGGAAAUGUGGAAACAAUCACAGGAUGCUUUUACAGACCUAUAAGUGCCAUUGUGACAGAAUUAGGCCCGCAAAUCCAAUUGUCACCUAAACUGCAUGUAUCCCAGAUUCUGCCAGAUACAUCACAGUGACAUUCUGCAUCGUGUUCAUUUAUAUUCAGGAGCCAAUACUCCCUGAAAAAUCUGGCUAUUUCCCAUCUCCCACUACACAGUUACCAUGGUAAAUGACCAAAGAUACUUCUGGAGAAGGCUGGGAGAAAGAUUUACAGGAAGUACUUCUGAUGAUAUCACAAGGUCCUUCUUCAGGUUACCUGGCUUCCUCUAUAUUCAAUGUUUGGAAAUAAACUCAAGUUUCAGAAUUG